AGAAUAGGGAGAACCCCUGAAUCAAUCACCUGCUUAUGCAUUGCUUCUCCAAUAUUGUUCAUCAACAUUUCAAGUAACAAAACUGCAUAAAGUUGUGUAUUUGCAUUUUUACUUCCUAAUCGUUUUUUUAUCGCUUUUAUGACCUCUUUAGCUUGCCUUUGAUCAUGAGCAACUAAUUCACAGAUUUGGAUAUUCUUCAUCCAAUCAGUUUCAGCCAGUUUCUCACUUGUUGCAGAGUUGACUAGUUCAGCAGCCAUCUUU
RNAcentral lists this unclassified non-coding RNA (261 nucleotides) under Hevea brasiliensis (rubber tree). Lineage: Eukaryota; Viridiplantae; Streptophyta; Magnoliopsida; Malpighiales; Euphorbiaceae. The record is from RNAcentral.